UCUCCGUAGGUGAACCUGCGGAGGGAUCAUUACAGAGUUCAUGCCCUACCGGGUAGAUCUCCCACCCUAUGUUAAUAUUAGUUUGUUGCUUUGGCGGGCCGUUAGCCCGCGGCCCGACUACCGGCCCCGGCUGGUAAGCGCCCGUCAGAGGACCAAACACCCUGAAUAUUAUUGUCGUCUGAGUACUAUAUAAUAGUUAAAACUUUCAACAACGGAUCUCUUGGUUCUG
RNAcentral lists this unclassified non-coding RNA (229 nucleotides) under plant metagenome. Its description in RNAcentral is "partial contains small subunit ribosomal RNA, internal transcribed spacer 1, and 5.8S ribosomal RNA". The record is from RNAcentral.